GCCAACGAGUGGCGGACGGGUGAGUAACACGUAGGUAACCCGCCCAGAAGUGGGGGACAACAUUUGGAAACAGAUGCUAAUACCGCAUAACAGCGUUGUUCGCAUGAACAACGCUUAAAAGAUGGCUUCUCGCUAUCACUUCUGGAUGGACCUGCGGUGCAUUAGCUUGUUGGUGGGGUAACGGCCUACCAAGGCGAUGAUGCAUAGCCGAGUUGAGAGACUGAUCGGCCACAAUGGGACUGAGACACGGCCCAUACUCCUACGGGAGGCAGCAGUAGGGAAUCUUCCACAAUGGGCGCAAGCCUGAUGGAGCAACACCGCGUGAGUGAAGAAGGGUUUCGGCUCGUAAAGCUCUGUUGUUAAAGAAGAACACGUAUGAGAGUAACUGUUCAUACGUUGACGGUAUUUAACCAGAAAGUCACGGCUAACUACGUGCCAGCAGCCGCGGUAAUACGUAGGUGGCAAGCGUUAUCCGGAUUUAUUGGGCGUAAAGAGAGUGCAGGCGGUUUUCUAAGUCUGAUGUGAAAGCCUUCGGCUUAACCGGAGAAGUGCAUCGGAAACUGGAUAACUUGAGUGCAGAAGAGGGUAGUGGAACUCCAUGUGUAGCGGUGGAAUGCGUAGAUAUAUGGAAGAACACCAGUGGCGAAGGCGGCUACCUGGUCUGCAACUGACGCUGAGACUCCAAAGCAUGGGUAGCGAACAGGAUUAGAUACCCUGGUAGUCCAUGCCGUAAACGAU
Molecule: ribosomal RNA, 738 nt
Filed under: uncultured bacterium
Lineage: Bacteria
Description: bacterial SSU rRNA
Rfam family: Bacterial small subunit ribosomal RNA
Source: RNAcentral